AGUAGCAGCGGCAGCGGUAGCAGCGGCAGCGGUAGCAGCGGCAGCGGCAGCUUGGUCCUCUGACUCUCUUCGGUGACGGGUAUUCUUGGGUGGAUAAUACGGAUUACGUUGUUAUUGCUUAAGAAUACGCGUAGUCGAGGAGAGUACCAGCGGCAGGGGGGCAGCGGCCGCCCUCCCCAGCCCACCAGCUGGCCACUAAACGCCCGUGGUUGCCAAGGCAUCCAAAGCCUCUGGGAUGUGUUCUGACUGUAAAAACUCUGAUGUUGUGAAAAAAGCUUACGCUUUGCCUCCACUCAAACCAGAUUGAUGGGUUUUUCCCUGAAAACAAAAUAAAACAAAAAGAAAAACAACUUUUGAAUAACAUGGCAUCUGGUAAAGUCAAGGAAGUAAAUUUGCUUUUUUCUUCCACUUCGAGAGAGUUGGCAUAGUUUGAAAGAAUAUUUUCAAGAAACAAGGAAAUAAGUAUGAACUUUCAUAUUUAAUGAGAAAUUGAAAGGUGAGUUUAUAAUAACCUCAGUUCAACAUUUUAUCAAAAGUGUUGGCAUUAGUAGGCUGGGCGCGGUGGCUCACGCCUGUAAUCCCAGCACUUUGGGAGGCUGAGGAGGGUGGAUCACGAGGUCAGGAGAUCGAGACCAUCCUGGCUAACACAGUGAAACCCCGUCUCUACUAAAAAUACAAAAAAUUAGCUGGGCGUGGUGGUGGGCACCUGUAGUCCCAGCUACUCGGGAGGCUGAGGUAGGAGAAUGGCGUGAACCCGGGAGGCGGAGCUUGCAGUGAGCCAAAAUCACACCACUGCACUCCAGCCUGGGCAACAGAGCAAGACUCCAUCUCAAAAAAAUAAAAAAUAAAAAAAAGUGUUGGCAUUAGUAAUAUCAAUAUAUUGUCAACAUCUGCUAAAAGUCAUCAAACACCUGGUCAGUUCAUGCAAUCAGGAAAAAAAAAAAAGUUGUUUGAUUCACUUAAAAAAAUCAAAUCAUUUAAGUGUGACUAACGCUUUUUGAAUCUUUUGGGGGUAUGUGAAAAUAAACUGAUGAAUGGUUUAAAAAAUGUUUAUGUUAAUUGCUAUAGAAGUAUAAAUUUUAGUCGUUUUUAAGAAUUUUUGUUCUUACUACAUUUCCAUGCAAUUAAGAAAAUUAUCAUAUUUCUUUUUUUAACUUUUAUUUUAAGUUCAGGGGUACAAGUACAGGUUUGUUUUGCAUAGGUAAACUUGUUUCAUGAGGGCUUGUUGUACAGAUUAUUUCAUCACCCAGGUAUUAAGUCGAGUACCCAUGAGUUAUUUUUCCUGAUCCUCUGCCUCCUCCCACCCUCCACCCUCUUAAAGGCCCCAGUGUGUGUUCCUCUCUACGUGUCCAUGUGUUCUCAGCAUUUAGCUCCCACUUAUAAGAGAGAACAUGUGGCUUUUGGUUUUCUGUUCCUGAGUUUGUUUGCUAAGGAUAAUAGCCUCCAGUUCCAUCCAUGUCCCUGCAAAGGACAUGAUCAUGUUCUUUUCUAUGCUGACCCACAAUUAACCAGUGCAUUCUUCCCUUGGAUUCCCUAAGCUUGUGUGCCUGAUGAGCUGCUCUCCAGUUAUGCCACCAUGAUUUCCAUUCCUGAGGGAAGGCUGUGACGAAGAGCCAGGAAAAUAAGAGCACCCCUCCUACUCUCAUAGUGCAGUGGUUGAGGAUCCUUUUUUCUAUACAAUUUUAAAACUGGAAAUACACAAAAUACGCCAACAUAAUUAAAAAUAAAACUACCAUGAAAUAGCACAAAUAUUCUGCACAUGAAAUGUUAAGAACUAAAAUUUAAAAAUCUGCUUUUAGUAGGACUACAUAAAACUGAAGAAAACCAGUCAAUACAGAAUUGGGCCAAUGUACAAUUAUUCUUGAAGUAAUCCAAACACAUUAAGUUCUCUAAUAUAUCUAAAAUAAUCUAUGACAAAGGAAAUAAUCUGAAGGAAAGAAAGAAAAGAUAAUUGUGGGAAAUUCUUAUGUGUUAUACUUUUAUGUGUAGAUAAGCUGAAUGGAAAAAGAAUUAUUGUAAAAUAUUGAGAAAAGAUUAGAAGAUAUGAAAUAAUUAAGAAAAAGAGAAUAGGUAAAAGGAGCCCAUGGUGAUGAAAAGGCACUGCUCAUUUUCUUUUUAAAAAAUUUCCUCAAAUUAUUAAAUCUAGGCAUUCCCAACUUUUUUUUUUUUUUUUUAGAUGGUGUUUCGCUCUUAUUGCCCAGGCUGGAGUGCAAUGACGUGAUCUUGACUCACCACAGCCUCUGCAUCCAGGAUUCAAGCUAUUCCCCUGCCUCAGCCUCCCAAAAUGCUGGGAUUAUAGGCGUGAGCCACCACGCCUGGCCAGCAUUCCCAAUUUUUAAAAAUGAAUGAUUGGCACAAAUCUUAGAAAGCCAUUUUCUGUAGAUUUGAAAGCAAUGCUAUUUACAUUGUUACUACUUUCUUGUUAAAUCUUGCAUGUCUGCAGUAUGUGUUGUAAUAGAAACCUAAGAUUAUGAUCUGCUGUAUUCAUAUUUGAAGAAGAAAAUUUCAGACUGUAUAAUCAACUAGUUGAUGAUUCAUAUUUGCUUGUACAAAGUUAAAAGUGUAACUUGCCAGAAAAGAAGGAAGCCUGAAAAGUAUUCUAAAUACAUUAAUAAGAAGGGUUCUACAUGAAUUAAUUUUUGUUUUGCCAUCUACAGAGUUCCUGCCACAUUCUAGGCACUUCAUAUUUGCUGCAACAUUUAUUCAGACAUUGACAGAACAAGAGAAACGAAGUUAAAUUUUAAGUACCAUGGAUUGAAAUUAAAUUUAGGGAAGAUAUUUUAUAGUAUGAAUUGUUCAUCUGUAUUUAACAAGGUAUUCAUUUAUUUUGGGCGAUUUAAGGAAGGUCCUUUCUGGAAACAGGAUUACAAACAUAUGGACCUAUUUAGUCAAUUUCAACCUUGUGAUUUUGAAUCUGACAGGUUCUCAGCUGCUUUUAUUAAAUAACGGAUUUUCUUAAUAAUUACUGUACUCAAACUUAGCAAAAAGCUCUAUUUAUAGCCCAGUUUUUUAGUCACACACUAUUGUGUCUUGUCAAAUUGAAACCAUAUACUACAUUCUUUACUUAUUAAGAUGGUCUUUCUUUGUAAUAAUUUUGGAGUAAAUAGUUUACUUAUCUAAACCUCUGAUUUCUGAUUUAACAGAUUUUUGAAGCAUUUAUUUUCCUUACCAUACAUAAAAAUUGUCAGUUGAGGACAAGGAAGGAUUAACCUGGACUACGGUGAAUAAUUGUUCAGGUUGCUUACUGUGUAACUCCAGAGGAGCAUUCACAUGGUACAAUUUGCAGAUUUAAGUAUUUAUUACAACCAUUUUCUGGCAGAUAACAGUGGAACACCCUGUUCUGUUAAAAUUAGUUUAUUAUGACAAAUUGCCUACAGAUGGACAUAAACUGUCUUGAGGAAGGGCACCUGCUUUGGACUGAAUCGUGUCCCCCCAAAAUCAAAUGUUGAAGCCUAAUCUCUAAUAUGAUGGUAUUUGGAGAUGGGGCCUUUGGGAGAUAACUAGGUUUAGAUGAGGUCAAGAGUGUGGGGCCUUCCUGAUUAGUACCCUGAAAAGAGAAAACACCAGAGAGCUUGCCCUCUCUCCCUCUUACCCCACAGGCACACAAAGAGGUCAUGUGAGUACACAGUGAGAUAACAACCACCUAUGAGAAAACAGAAGAGGCUUCAGAGUGAAAUCUACUUUGCUGGUACUGUAAUCUUGGACAUUAUUCUCUAGAACUGUGAGAUAAUAAAUUUAUCUUAUUUAAGCCACCCAGUCUAUGGUAUUUUGUUAUGGCACCCUGAACUAAGACAAAUUUUGGUACCAAGAAAUGGGGGUGCUACUGUAACUAAUACCUAAACAUGGGGAAAUGACUUUGGAAUUGGAUAGUGAGUAGAGGCUCAAGAAUUUUCAGGUGCAUCCUAAACAUAUGAACAAACAGUAAAGGUGAUUCUGGUGAGACCUCAGAUGGAAUUGAGGAAUAUGUUAUUGGAAACUGGAAGGACGGUGAUCCUUGUUACAAAGUGGCAAAAAACUUAGGUGAACUGUAUUCUAGUGUUUUGAGGAAGGUAGAACUUGUGAGUGAUGAAAUUAAAUAUUUGACAUUUCUAAGCAAUAUGAUGAAGGAGCAGCUGGUUUCCUCCUGACCAUUUCUGCUGAAAUGAAAAAAAAAAAGAUAAGUUGAAGAAGAAAUUGUUCAGCAAAAAGGAACCAGAACUUGAAGAUUUGGGAAAUUCUCAGCUUAUCCACAUUAUUAAAAAAUGACAAAAACUUGCUCUGAAAAUAACACUAGGAGUGUGACUGGACAACCAUUUGAUAAGAGUUUAUGAGAUUAUGUGAGCAGAAAUUCUGCCAGUUUGAACUGAAGGGGAUGAAGAUGGGACAAAAAGAAUGAAGGCUUCGAGACUUCUUGGGUUAGACAUGAUGGGCUGAUUUGCUUAUUUGGCUGUGAACCUGCACUAUUUUUCAAGGAGAGGAAAAAAUGGCCCCAAAGGCAAUUCAGAGAUAGCCAGAGCCACAGCCUCAGUUUCAACAGGCUGGACAGUCUCCACUCAGCUCUUUGGAGGCAGAACCACUCAGAGGACUCAAGCCUGUCAGAGCUAGGGGGUGGGGCUGGCAAUCCCACAGGGUGGAAAGGAUGGGGCUAUCCUGCAAAUCCAUGUGGGUGAUGUCUUGGGUGGAAUGCUCUGGACUGAACUGUCCUCCCAUCCCCUGCUCAGAUUCUGUGUUGAAGCCCUUACCUCCAGUGUUACGGUAUUUGGAGAUGGGGUCUUUGUAAGAUAAUUGGGUUUAGAUGAGAUCAUGAGAGUGAGGCCCUCAGGAUUAGUGCCCUUAUAAGAAACCUCGGAAAGCUUGCGAGUUCUCUCUCUCUCUCUUUCUUUUUCUUUCUCUCUCUCUCUCCCCGUGUGUGUGUGUGUGUGUGUGUGUGCGCGCGCACACGCGCGCGUCAUGUGGAAACACAGCACAAAGGCAGCCUCUGCAAGCCAGGAAGAGGGCUCACGAGAACCCAAUCAAGCUGGCACCCCAAUCUCAAACUUCCACCCUCCGAAACUGUGAGAAAAUAAAUUUCUGUUGUUUAUGCUUAUGUUCAAUGAAGAAAAUAUGCGUAACAAGUGAUUUAACAAUAAUGUGAUAAUUCAUUGGAUUACUCUAAGAAAUAUGAGUUUUUUUACGGCAAACUCUCCACAACACACUUGAUAAUAGAUUGAGAGGAAAUGGCUGUGUAAAUAAUUAAGCUGAGAAAAUAAGUUACAUUUGCUCUCACAGAUCAGUGGUCAAAGAGAGACAAAAUGCUGAGGGUGGGGUGGGGUGGACAGGACAUUGAGGAUCAAAAGCACUUGGGAUCAGCUUCAAACUGAAGGUAAUAACUGGAGUCUUAGACACGGGUUUUUCCAGGAAAACAAAAUGAGAGAAGUCAGAUCAAGCAGAGGAAGUUGUAUGAACAAUCACUAAACUUCCUGACUUAUUCUCCAAGUUUCUUAUUCCUAAACUACAAAUAUCUUGAUUGCAUUCUGAGAACAUGCUGUGCCUCCCUCUGUCUUAGCAGUCACUACUUUAUAUUAAAAUAUAUUUUGAUGCUUUCCUUUCCCAUAGAUUCUCCAAGUCAUAAACAAUACCCCCAGCACCUAGCACAGAGCCUGGUACCAUGUUGUUUGUCAAAUUAGACUGAGCUCUGAUAUUGCCUUUUUCACCAGGUGGUCCAUACUCUCUUCUACUUUCCUUUAAUACACUGGCGUAUGUUUUGUAAGCCCUCGCCACAUUGUAUUCAAUUGUUUGUUAAUGUGUUUGUCUUCCUAAUUAGACUGUGAAAUUCUUGAAGGCAGAGAUUAGGUCCUGUUCAUCUUUGCAUGAUCAGUGUCUUGCCUAGCAUAUAGUAGGGUUCCCUUGGGGUUCCUUUUUUUAUGAAAUGAACUAACAUUCAGUAUUUCAAAAUUACUGGAAUUUAGUGUGCUUUAGGUAACGGUGAGCAGAAGGAAGAUGGAUAAGAUAUAAGGCUGGGAAAAUAUGGGGAAAAUCCAUGUCUGAGGUUAAUUGAUUAAAAAGGAGGAGCCUUGAGUGACUUCUGUGCUUGGUGUGAUGGUGAUAUUCACCAAGGUAAGUUAUACUAGAAUAAUAAGUUAGGGAGAUAAUAGUGAGUUGAGACAUUUAUGAAAUAUGCAGGUGUCUAGUAGAGUUGGAUAAAUAGGCCUGGAGCUUGAGAAAUUCAGAACAAAGAUAGUGAUUUGGACAUCAUGAGAGGCAGUAUACAGUAAUAAUAAUAAUAAAUAGACUGGACGUGGUGGCUCACGCCUGUAAUCCCAGCACUUUGAGAGGCCGAGGCAGGUGGAUUGCCUGAGCUCAGGAGUUCAAGACAAGCCUGGGAAACAUUGCAAAACCCAUUCUCUACGAAAAAUACAAAAAAUUAGCCAGGCAUGGUGGCAUGCGCCUGUGGUCCCAGCUACUUGGGAGGCUGAAGUGGGAGAAUCGCUUGAGCCUGGGAGGUUGAGGCUGCAGUGAGCUCACAUCAUGCCACUGCACUCCAGCCUGGGUGACAGAGGGAGAUCCUAUCUCAAAAAAACAAAACAAAACAAAAUAAUAAUAAUAAUAAUAACUAUUAAAGCACUUUCUAAGUGCUGGGUACUAAUUGCUCAGCACAUGCUAGUACCCUUAAUACUCACAUAAACAAACUUUUGGAGAUGUGCAUAAUUAUCCCCAUUUUACAAACUAGAAACCAAGCCACAGACCUCCUAGUUUACCUUAGGUCGUGCAGAUCUCAAACCAAGCAGGAUUCCCACCCAGUGACUCUGCUUCUAAAAUUCGUACUCAGUAUACACCAGUAUAGGGACUGGGACUGUCAGUCUUUCCUUUGCUUUGUGACUUGAUUAUAUUACCCACCACUUCUGUGCCUCAGUUUCCUCAUUUGCAAACUGAGGGAAAUAAUACUAUCUAUCUCAAUACAGUGCUUGGUACAUGUUAGCACUCAAUCAACCUUAAAUUAUUAUUUCCAUUAGCCUAUUUAUGAAUGUUGAAAUCAUGGAGGAAAAGGAGAUUGGGUGAAUGUGGGGAAUAAGAAAACCAGAGGGUCCUUGAUCCUUUAAGCAGUGGUUGUCUAGAAGGAAAUCUAGUUUGGAGGCUGUGUGAUCAUCCCAAGGGGAAAAGUGAGGCUUCCAGACCUGGGGCCUGGGCAGAAUCUGGGAUGCCUGGUCCAGUGCAGAGGGCUGAGUAUCAGUCAUCCACAGCAAGCACUGCGGUGCUAGAAUGAAAAACUGAGAAGAAAUAUGCCAAAUCAAAAGCCUAGUCAGCCAUCCAAGUGUAAGGUCCAUCUAAAGGAACUGAGCAAAGAAAUAUGAAAAAAAAUCAGCUUAGACAGUAUGAGACAAAGCUUGAAGUUUCUUAAGCAGGUGGUAGGGACUUCAUAGGAUGCCAUGAAACUGAGAGUUGUCCAGAAGACAGCUCUUAAAGACAGUGGUCUUGCACAAGCUGAGUUUGAAGAAUAAUCAAAGUGGUAGGAGGGAAUAAGGAUGAGGCAGGAUCUUAAAAACCCAGGGAGGAAAAAAAUGUGAAGGAUGUGGGGAGAUGGGAGAUUUGGUAAGAUUCCAUUUCUUUCCAGCACCCACAACUUAUUAAUCCCUACAACAGUUUAAUGAGGUGGGCAGUCCAUUUAUUCCCGUUUUUAUAGUUUAGGAAAAUUAGACAACAAUAAUAACUGGCUUUGGGUUACACAGCUGGUGAGCAUCAGAGCUGGGAUUUUAACCCAGGCUGCCUGGCUCUCACGCCCAUGCUUGCAAUCAUCUAUUGCAUAGUCCUUAUUCCUGGCUGAUUUCCUCUUUGUCGUGGCUCACUUUACUCCAUCCCUUGUAUGUUUCUAAAGACAGAGAACAUGGCGUGAACCCGGAAGGCGAAGCUUGCAGUGAGCAAAGAUCGCGCGCGCCACUGCACUCCAGCCUGGGCGACUGAGCGAGACUCCAUCUCAAAAAAAAAAAAAAAAAAAAAAAAAGAGAGAGAGAGAGAGAGAACUUGUUUAUAGCAUUUUCCAUCUCCAUCUACCUACUGUACACUCAGCAAGCCUGGGCGGGGGUAGGAGAGUGGUACACGUUUAGAUUUUAAGGAACUGCCCUCUCAAAUAUUUACGUAUAGUCUGAGUCCUUUCCAUUCCCAGAAGGCUUCAGAUUUUUUGAAACAGGUUUCAGAA
This 8152-nucleotide long non-coding RNA is filed under the name Homo sapiens (human). RNAcentral's name for it is "HSALNT0294153". The stretch from base 69 to 139 matches the Rfam family "mir-137 microRNA precursor family". Lineage: Eukaryota; Metazoa; Chordata; Mammalia; Primates; Hominidae. The record is from RNAcentral.